UCCCCCUGAAUUUAAGCAUAUUAAUAAGCGGAGGAAAAGAAACUAACAAGGAUUCCCUCAGUAGCGGCGAGCGAACGGGGAAGAGCCCAGCGCUGAACCCCGCGGCCUUGUUGUGUGGCCGCGUGGAAUGUAGCGUUCGGGAGCGUCCGUAAUCCCGCGGUCGUGCGGCGCGUCCAAGUCCUUCUUGAACGGGGCAACUGACCCAUAGAGGGUGCCAGGCCCGUAGCGACCGCCGCCGUUCGCGGGAGGACGUCUCCUUAGAGUCGGGUUGCUUGAGAGUGCAGCCCUAAGCGGGUGGUAAACUCCAUCUAAGGCUAAAUACAACCACGAGACCGAUAGAAAACAAGUACCGUGAGGGAAAGUUGAAAAGAACUUUGAAGAGAGAGUUCAAUAGUACGUGAAACCGUUCAGGGGUAAACCUGAAAAACCCGAAUGAUCGAGACGCGGAGAGAUUCAAUCGCGUCGCGGUCGUCCGGCGUCUAGAAGCGCCGCGACGGGCUCCGUUUCGACGGCGUCCGCCGGUCUUCUUGCGUUCGGCGCCGUACGCGUGCACUUCUCUCCUCGUAGGUCGUCGCGACCCGUCGGGCGCCGGUCUAAGGUUCUCGCGGUAGCCCGUGCGGUCGGCUCGCGCCGAUCCGCUCGGACCCGAGAAGACCCGGCCGGCUCGUCCGGCGGUACUAAAAGACGAGGGGCCGCGAAAACGUUCGCGCUCGACCCGUCGCGAGUGCGGUCGGUACCUCGACCGGUUCGGAUCUUUCGAUCCGUACCAGAGGCCGGCCCGCUGUCGGCGACGGUGUUCUCGAGCAGACCCUUCUUCGCGUCGUGUAGUAUUAUUAAUAAUGCACGCACGUCAGUCUGCGACGCGUUAGCUUUGGGUAAUUUCAGGACCCGUCUUGAAACACGGACCAAGGAGUCUAGCAUGUGCGCGAGUCAUGAGGUCAGAUAAAGAAACCUAAAGGCGAAAUGAAAGUGAAGGCCCGCCUGGCGCGGGCCUAGGGAGGAUGGGCCGCGCUCGUCGCGGCCUCGCACUCCCGGGGCGUCUCGUUCUCAUCGCGAGAAGAGGCGCACCUAGAGCGUACACGCUGGGACCCGAAAGAUGGUGAACUAUGCCUGGUCAGGACGAAGUCAGGGGAAACCCUGAUGGAGGUCCGUAGCGAUUCUGACGUGCAAAUCGAUCGUCGGAACUGGGUAUAGGGGCGAAAGACUAAUCGAACCAUCUAGUAGCUGGGUUCCUUCCGAA
Molecule: ribosomal RNA, 1240 nt
Filed under: Paragrilus aeraticollis
Lineage: Eukaryota; Metazoa; Arthropoda; Insecta; Coleoptera; Buprestidae
Description: eukaryotic LSU rRNA
Rfam family: Eukaryotic large subunit ribosomal RNA
Source: RNAcentral